AUAAGAAAACAAUUGAAUGGAGUUUAAAAUUGCAGUUUUCCGAAUAUUUUAAAACAUCAAUUCUUGUUGCCUACACUUGUCCGUGCAAUAAUUUAUCAAUGUUAGAAAACAGCAUUUUUUUAAAUAAUUUACUUAAAUUUUUUCUAUAACCCAAAUUGAUUUAUCUGUCCCUAAGAAUUAACGUGAUGUGACGCUUUACUAAUUGUUUUGUUAUUUUAAAAUACGUAUUUAUUCGUUUUUGGUCUUGUCACAUUGUAAAAAAUAUUAUUACUGAACACUGAAUGGAAGGCUAGUGUAUAAAAAAAUCUUGUAUUGAUAUUAUCUAGUUGCAAAUGAGUAUUUUUCAAAUAAAACAUGUGUAUUCGUUGCAUUCGCAUGUGCAAAGUUACACCUAUUCGUGACAACUAGAUUGGUUGUAACUGAUAUAAAAACUAUGAUUUUUAUAGUUUUACUGCAAUUCCUCAUUAGAAAACCAACAAUUUAACAAUGUUUAUUCUAACAUUUUUUGCUUUGAUAAUUCUUGUGGUCCCAUCGCUACAGUUGGGGCCGUCAAUGGGUCCUGUGGGUAGAAUAGACUUUAAAAAAAUCCAAGAAUGUCCAAAAUUUAGUGGACAAUUAAAAGUGCAAUUAAAUAAAAAUUCUAAAGGGCAGAAAGUAUUUAAUUGUCAACUCAAUCUAGCAGAAGAAUAUAACAACAAAUUUACGUUUGCAGUUAGGGUUCACAAGUGGACAGGAUCGGAAUAUAAAAAGGACAUGAUGAAGUACGAGGGCGGAAUGUGUGAUUACGUCAAUAAGUUUUUGCCUACUGUGCGUGAGAAACUUUACAAAGCAGCGAAAGUGACUGGUAACUGCGUAGUCAAAAAAGGCAAGUACGACAUGAAAGACGUCUACGCCACUGAAGGAGAUCUCAAAUUGCCUGCGAUACCUUAUGGCACUUUCCAGUUAGAAGUUGAACUGUUCAAUAGCAAGAAAGUUAAAAUUGUAUGCCUGUUAAUAGAUGUUGACUCAGUUGCUCGAUAAUUGCUUGGAUAUGUUUGUAAACAUUGCAUAUGUAUUCACAUAAAUAAUGAUAAAUUUGAAUCAUUUCUCUGAAACUUA
Molecule: long non-coding RNA, 1098 nt
Organism: Dalotia coriaria
Lineage: Eukaryota; Metazoa; Arthropoda; Insecta; Coleoptera; Staphylinidae
Exons: 2
Source: RefSeq, a predicted model, not a curated record